GGGGGGGGGGGGGGGGGGGGGGGGGGGGGGGGGGGGGGGGGAGGCGGGCGGGGGGAGGGGCGGGCGGGUGCGGAACACGUGGGAACGGGCCGUUAGGGGCGGGCUAACUCAUGGAGACGGGUGCUAACACCGACUGGCCCCUGCGGGGGCAAGGUUAAUCGCCUUUAAAGCGGCCCGCGUCUGAUUAGCUAGGUGGUUGAGGUAAUGGCUCACCAAGGCGACGAUCAGUAGCUGGUCUGAGAGGAUGCUCAGCCACAUUGGGACUGAGACACGGCCCAAACUCCUACGGGAGGCAGCAGUGGGGAAUCUUGCGCAAUGGGCGAAAGCCUGACGCAGCCAUGCCGCGUGAAUGAUGAAGGUCUUAGGAUUGUAAAAUUCUUUCACCGGGGACGAUAAUGACGGUACCCGGAGAAGAAGCCCCGGCUAACUUCGUG
This 434-nucleotide ribosomal RNA is filed under the name uncultured bacterium. RNAcentral describes it as "partial 16S ribosomal RNA". It matches the Rfam family "Bacterial small subunit ribosomal RNA", at positions 39 to 507 of the family's 1533-position model. The record is from RNAcentral.